UACGUAGGGGGCAAGCGUUGUCCGGAUUUAUUGGGCGUAAAGAGCGUGUAGGCGGCCGUACAGGUCAGCUGUGAAAACUCGAGGCUCAACCUCGAGACGUCGGUUGAAACCGUACGGCUAGAGUCCGGAAGAGGAGAGUGGAAUUCCCGGUGUAGCGGUGAAAUGCGCAGAUAUCGGGAAGAACACCCAUGGCGAAGGCAGCUCGCUGGCCUACAACUGACGCUGAGGCGCGAAAGCGUGGG
Molecule: ribosomal RNA, 242 nt
Filed under: uncultured bacterium
Lineage: Bacteria
Description: partial 16S ribosomal RNA
Rfam family: Bacterial small subunit ribosomal RNA
Source: RNAcentral